This 468-nucleotide ribosomal RNA is filed under the name uncultured bacterium. Its description in RNAcentral is "partial 16S ribosomal RNA". It matches the Rfam family "Bacterial small subunit ribosomal RNA", at positions 28 to 507 of the family's 1533-position model. The record is from RNAcentral.
GACGAACGCUGGCGGCGUGCUUAACACAUGCAAGUCGAACGGAAAGGCCCGGCUUUGGUGGGGUGCUCGAGGGGCGAACGGGGGAGUAACACGUGAGUAACCUGCCCCUGACUGUGGGAUAACUUCAGGAAACUGGGGCUAAUACCGGAUAGGAGCUCCUGCUGCAUGGUGGGGGUUGGAAAGAUUCGGCUGUUGGGGUUGGACUGGCGGCUUAUCAGCUUGUUGGUGGGGUGGUGGCUGACCAAGGCUAUGACGGGUAGCCGGCCUGCGCGGGUGACCGGCCCCAUCGGGCCUGGGAUACGGCCCAGCCUACUACGCUAGGCAGCGGUGGGGAGUAUUGCACAAUGGGCGGAACCCUGACGCGGCACCGCCGCGUCCGGGAUGACGUCCUUCGGGUUGUAAACCGCUGUCGCCUGUGCCGAGGCGUGAGUGACGGUACUGGGUAAAGAAGCACCGGCUAACUACGUG